GAUGAACGCUGGCGGCGUGCCUAAUACAUGCAAGUCGAGCGAACGGACGAGAAGCUUGCUUUUCUGAUGUUAGCGGCGGACGGGUGAGUAACACGUGGCUAACCUACCUAUAAGACUGGGAUAACUUCGGGAAACCGGAGCUAAUACCGGAUAAUAUUUUGAACCGCAUGGUUCAUAAGUGAAAGACGGUCUUGCUGUCACUUAUAGAGGGAUCCGCGCUGCAUUAGCUAGUUGGUAAGGGAACGGCUUACCAAGGCAACGAUGCGUAACUGACCCGAGAGGAUGAUCAGUCACACUGGAACUUAGACACGGUCCAGACUCCUACGGGAGGCAGCAGUGGCGAAUAUUGGACAAUGGGCGAAAGCCUGAUCCAGCCAUGCUGCGUGUGUGAAGAAGGUCUUCGGAUUGUAGAGCACUUUAAGUUGGGAGGAAGGGCAGUAAGUUAAUACCUUGCUGUGUUGACGGUACCAACAGAAUAAGCACCGGCUAACUUCGUG
RNAcentral lists this ribosomal RNA (497 nucleotides) under uncultured bacterium. RNAcentral's name for it is "partial 16S ribosomal RNA". It matches the Rfam family "Bacterial small subunit ribosomal RNA", at positions 28 to 507 of the family's 1533-position model. The record is from RNAcentral.